Ornithorhynchus anatinus (platypus) is the source of this 551-nucleotide long non-coding RNA. RefSeq lists it as uncharacterized. Lineage: Eukaryota; Metazoa; Chordata; Mammalia; Monotremata; Ornithorhynchidae. The record is from RefSeq and is a predicted model, not a curated record. The transcript is spliced from 2 exons.
CCCCGGGGAGAUGAAGUGACAUUUUUUACAUUAGCGGACAGGUAGGGAGGAAGCGGGAUCGCCUUCCACGGGCGCGGAGCUUUUCGGCGCGAGCUACUCGGGCGUGCCCCGGGUGGCGGGAGCCAGACUUGGAAAUACGAUUUUAACGUUCAGACCUCGAGUGGACUGGAUAACGAGAAAGCCUCGGCCCGUACGGCCGUUUGCCCCCGGCGUGGAAUUCCUGCGCGUCGGAGGGUCCGCGCAGGUGCGUCCGACCCGACGGAUUCCUAUCUAGCCCGGCGCACGUGAGCCGUACGUCACCCCCCGAUUCCGUGCCUCUGCCGUUGUCUCGACGAGACGUUCUCUUCCCCUCGACUCCACGUACUGCCAUCGUUGGUGUCUGCCCGUCUCCCCCCGAUCAGACGGUGAGCCCGUCGGAGGGCAGGGACCGUCUCUGCCUGUCGCCGGCCUGUACGUUCCGAUGGCUCAGUACGGUGCUCGGCCCACAGUGAGCGCGCGACGAACGCGGUUGAAUCGGUGAACGGAUGAAUUCGUAUCAGCGCCCGUCUCCC